UAUUAUUGUUAUUAUUGUUAUUAUUGUCAUUACUAUAUGCAUUCAUUUUAUUAUCUUUUGUUUCUUUUUUAUGAUUUUUGUUGUAACUACUACUAGCAUCAUCAUCAGUGCCAUAUAUUUUAUUGUAAUUUCCUUUGCUAUUUUUGUUACUAUUUUUACCAUAACUAUUACUUUUAUUACUUUUAUUACUUUUAUUACUGUUACUACUAUCACUAUUAUAUCCAUUAUUUACUUUACAAGUUUUUUUAUUAUGCAUAGGUUUGUUAUUAAUAAUACUAUAUUUUGUAUGUAUUUCUUUUUUAUCAUUUUUUUUUUUAUUACUCGAAUGGAAUCGAGUUUUCGUAUUCUUACUAUUCCUAUUAUUACUCAGUUGUGAAAAAUGAGUAAAAGGAUUUUUAUCAUUAUAUUCCUCCCUUCCAUUUUUUAUGUUGUUAUUCAUUUUUUCAUUAACAAAAUUCAGAUUAAGCAUGUUAUGAAUAUUUUUACUAUUUUCGUUAUUGCUAUUUUUUUCGUUAUUGCUAUUUUUUUCGUUGUUGCUACUUUUUUUCGUUGUUGCUACUUUUUUCGUUGUUGCUACUUUUUUCGUUACUACUACUAUUGCUACUGUUACUACUACUACUCAUGCUUGUGCUUUCAUAAAGUUUAUCAUUGUUGUUUAUAUCAUAGUUAUCUUUUUUUAAUACUACAUUUCGUUUAUCUUUUUCAUUUUUUGCAUUGUUUGCUUCUGUUAUAUUAUUCACAAAAUUAACAUGACAUAAAUCGACAUUACCGCCCUUGCUAUCUUUAUUAUUGUCGUUUUCGUUUUUAUUGUUAUUAUUUCCAGUGUUAUUAAUUCCAGUGUUAUUAUUUCCAGUGUUAUUUUUACCAGUGUUAUUUUUACCAGUGUUAUUUUUACCAGUGUUAUCGUUUUUAUCAAUAUCAACUGUUUUGGGUUCCACACUUGUUUUAACAGUAUCAACAUCUUUUUUAUUUUUUUCAGUUUCUUCUUUAUUAUUAUUAUUACUAUGAAUAUGACUAUGGUUCAUAAUGUUCGUACUUUUAUUCUUAUUUAUAUUUUCGUUACCAUUUAUAACAAAAUCACUUAAGUUAGUAUUCAUACCGUCUGUACUCAUAACAGCUGUAAAAACAUGUCUACCUCCUACUGCUGUGUUACUAUUAGUUGUGCUACUAUUGGUUGUGCUACUAUUAGUUGUAGUACUAUUAGUUGUGCUACUAUUAUUAGUAGUACUAUUACCAGUUAUAAUAUUAGGAACUAUACCAGGGGGUACAAUGUUAGGAACUACACCUGGAGUUACAUUGUUUGCUGCGGCAUUUGCUGCUGCUGUAGCCGCUGCUGUUGCAGCUCCAUAAAUAAAAUUUGGGCUUAUAUUAAUUUGACUCA
RNAcentral lists this long non-coding RNA (1381 nucleotides) under Piliocolobus tephrosceles (Ugandan red Colobus). RNAcentral describes it as "lncRNA (ENSPTEG00000006403.1)". The record is from RNAcentral. Lineage: Eukaryota; Metazoa; Chordata; Mammalia; Primates; Cercopithecidae.